Long non-coding RNA from Conger conger (European conger), 2260 nucleotides. RefSeq lists it as uncharacterized. The record is from RefSeq and is a predicted model, not a curated record. The transcript has 2 exons. Lineage: Eukaryota; Metazoa; Chordata; Actinopteri; Anguilliformes; Congridae.
UUGAAUAACUUGCAUGAGGAACUUCUUGUACUUGCAGACUACCUAUUGAAUAAUUGUGUCCAGCUUGACUGGGAUUUCAAAACUACCAUGGCUGCAAUUUUUUCUUGAUAUGUUGCUGCUUUGGUUUUAAGUCUUUUGUUUCUUGUUACUUUGAUUUUGGUUAAUAUUUGUCAGAAAAGAAAAAAGGAAACCUUGAAAAAUGUUUUUAGAGCCUUUUUUGUGAAUAUGUUUUGUGAUUACUUUUCAGUGAAACUUGCUGCCCUCUCCCCGAUAAUGCACUUCUGUCCAUGCCUGUAAAAAUGUGACCCUCAUUUGCUUUCAGUGAAAACAUAAGCACCCCUGUUUUAUUGUACGCAGAAUAUGGACACCGUGCAUAUCCGUCUGCCUUUUGUCAGCCUGACCCAUGUCAUCAAGGAAAGCUACAGCUUCCUGUAAAGAACUGUAACUACCAUCUUUUAUCAAAACCUGGACCCCAGGAGUGUGGAAACAUGUCUCAAGACAGACUUUUCCAAAUGCAAAAAGGGACCAAUUUGUAUUGAUUGCAUAUCAGACUGUUUUUGGUUUUUGUCUUAAUUUUCCUCUUAUUCUUGGAAUGAAUUUGUUAUUUGCUUCUUGUUCUACAUGCUUUUUUCCCGAAGGGGUCUUGGGAACAAGUGUCCCAGAGAUUAGUUUCUAUGCCUUGAAUAUAUUACUCAAUAUAUUACUUUUAAAAUGUUCCACUGCUGUUCUUUCAAAAAUCAGAUUUUGUUAAUGUCAUUGUAUAGAAACAUAUGCACUAUUUGGAACAAAAAGAUGAAAAAUAUUAUAAUAAUACUAAAAUUAAUGUGCCAAACUAUGAACAAAUAACUUGUACAGGUGAUUUUCUAUCGAUCUGAAAAUUGGCUGAUCUGUUUUGGGACUAUCCAUGAAGAGGUGAUAUUCCAGAGAAGUUGUAUUUUGGGAUCCUCUCCAUCGACUGGCACCUGCAGCUGGCAGUGGCAAACAGCUACUCAUCAACCAAAACAGAAAAAUUCUGAUUUCAUUGUUUUGCCUUUUAACUUGCGUUGCCAAAUUGAAUUUACCUCAACAUCACGCAGUUACAUGAAGCUGAAAGAGAGGUGGAAAAGGAGCCCUGCUGCAUGCUGAAAGUGACAGAAGAAGCAGUACAAUGAGAGCUUUUAUUGGAUAAAACAAGAGCCUCAGCAAUACACCGAUGUCUGCCAGGUUUGGAAAGGGGUGAGCUGCUGAUGGGAUGCUGUAUAGGAGGCGAUGGGCUCACCGUGCUCUGCCUUUUCUUAUUUCUGCCUACUGUCAAUUGAAUGUACUAUUUUCCAAUAUUAUUUUUUUUUUACAAGGUGCCACUGCAGAGCUGCUGUCUCUUAUUUGUGCUGAUAAAGUCAAACAUGCGCAUGUGCGCACAUACACCCACACACACACACACACACACACACAAAAUCUACAUUUCUGAGAGACAAAGACAGAAAAAAAAAUGACAAAGAAAAGCCCAACUCUCUCUGUGCCCUCUUUAUGAAUGUAUAAUAUAUUGUUAUGUUAUGUUUGAUGUACUUACACCAUGGUUUUGACAUUAAUUGGGAUUAAUUGGUUUUGCCUUUUUUUCUUUGAAAAGAAUUUUGAGCUUUAUAAAUAUUGUCUAGAGUUGUUACCAGAAGGAUUCUUAAUGGACUCUUGACAUGAAAUCUUGUAUAUUUUUCAGUGUGCCAAUUUGUAACAUAUUUUGUAAGUGUAUAUUUUUCUUAGAAAGUGUUGUGAAGUAUUUGUGUGUGCGUGCGUGCGUGCGUGUGUGCGCACAUGUGUGUUUGUUUCUGUGUGCGCAUGCGUGUAUGUUUGUGUGUGUGUGUGUGAGUGUAACCUUUUUUGUGCCUCGGACAGGCAGUGAAAAGGAUGCAUAAUGACAGGUCUCUGGUUUUAAAAACCAAAAUUCAAAUGACAAAAAAGAAAAAUGGAAAAAAUCUAUACAUUUUUGUUGGGAGUUUUGUAAAAAGGCUGAUCUUGUUGUGGGAGUGUAGUGCUAUUGUGUAUAAGAAAUAAGCUGACAAAAAAACAGAGGAAAAAAUAAUACAAAUUUGUGAACUCUUUGCUGUUUUAUAGAUUUUCAUGUAAAUUAUUCUAGUAUUAUUUUGUUUUUUGUUGUAACUGUUGCAAAGGUUUUAAAUAUUUGUGAUCAAGCCUGUAUGGUGAUAAUGUAACAUUGGUAACUUGCUGAGUUUUGUAAUAAUGUUUAUGGAAUAAAUAUACAAAUCAAAAUAAGCUUUUGAAUGCA